This 1507-nucleotide ribosomal RNA is filed under the name metagenome. RNAcentral describes it as "bacterial SSU rRNA". It matches the Rfam family "Bacterial small subunit ribosomal RNA". The record is from RNAcentral.
AGAGUUUGAUCCUGGCUCAGAACGAACGCUGGCGGCGCGUUUUAAGCAUGCAAGUCGAACGGUAGAGGGAGCUUGCUCCCUUGAGAGUGGCGAACGGGUGAGUAACACGUAGAUAAUCUGCCUCUGGAUGGGGGAUAGUCCAAAGAAAUUUGGUUUAAUACCGCAUGAGAUGGCGAGACAUAAGUCUUGUUUAUGAAAGGCGCAAUUGUGCCGUCUGGAGAUGAGUCUGCGGUUCAUUAGCUAGUUGGUAGGGUAAAGGCCUACCAAGGCGACGAUGAAUAGCCGGCCUGAGAGGGUGAUCGGCCACACUGGGACUGAGACACGGCCCAGACUCCUACGGGAGGCAGCAGCUAAGAAUCUUCCGCAAUGGGCGAAAGCCUGACGGAGCGACGCCGCGUGAAUGAUGAAGGCGGAAACGUUGUAAAGUUCUUUUCUUGGGGAAGAAUAAAGUGAGGAAUGGAAUGCCUUACUGAUGACAUUAACUGAGGAAUAAGCCCCGGCCAAUUACGUGCCAGCAGCCGCGGUAAUACGUAUGGGGCGAGCGUUGUUCGGAAUUAUUGGGCGUAAAGGGCGUGUAGGCGGUUUUAUAAGCCUGGUGUGAAAGACCACAGCUCAACUGUGGAUCCGCACUGGGAACUGUAAGACUAGAGUUCAGGAGGGGAAGAUAGAAUUCCUGGUGUAGGGGUGAAAUCUGUAGAUAUCAGGAAGAAUACCGAUGGCGAAGGCAAUCUUCUGGCCAUGGACUGACGCUGAGGCGCGAAAGCGUGGGGAGCGAACAGGAUUAGAUACCCUGGUAGUCCACGCUGUAAACGAUGUACACUUGGUGUAGGGGACCUAAGUUCUCUGUGCCGGAGCUAACGCGUUAAGUGUACCGCCUGGGGAGUAUGCUCGCAAGGGUGAAACUCGAAGGAAUUGACGGGGGCCCGCACAAGCGGUGGAGCAUGUGGUUUAAUUCGACGAUACGCGAGGAACCUUACCAGGGCUUGACAUACACUUGAAGACCUAAGAGAUUGGGUCGACCUUUAGGGGACAGGUGAACAGGUGCUGCAUGGCUGUCGUCAGCUCGUGUCGUGAGAUGUUGGGUUAAGUCCCGCAACGAGCGCAACCCUUACUGUCUGUUACCAACAGGUCUUCGGAUGCUGGGGACUCAGGCAGAACUGCCGGUGACAAACCGGAGGAAGGUGAGGACGACGUCAAGUCAUCAUGGCCCUUAUGUCCUGGGCUACACACGUGCUACAAUGGCCAACACAAAGCGUUGCGAAACGGCGACGUUUAGCUAAUCGCAAAAAGUUGGUCUCAGUUCGGAUUGGAGUCUGAAACUCGACUCCAUGAAGUUGGAAUCGCUAGUAAUCGCGCAUCAGAAUGGCGCGGUGAAUAUGUUCCCGGGCCUUGUACACACCGCCCGUCACACCACCCGAGUUGGGGGUACCCGAAGUCGGUAGUCUAACCGUAAGGAGGACGCUGCCGAAGGUAUGCCUAGUAAGGGGGGUGAAGUCGUAACAAGGUA